UCCCACCAUGGCCUGGGCCCCUCUGCUCCUCACGCUGCUCACGUACUGCUCGGGUUCCAGCUCGCAGCCUGUGCUGACUCAGACGCCCUCGGUGUCCGUGUCCCCCGGAGAGAAUGUGAGACUGGCCUGCACCAUGUCCUCAGGAUACAGCAUCGGCAGCUACAGGGUGGGAUGGUACCAGCAGAAGUCGGGCAGUGCCCCACGGUUUGUGUACCACUACCAAACUAGCAGUGACCAGGGCAGGGGCACAGGGAUCCCAGCGCGAUUCACCGUCUCCCCUGACACCUCCAACAACCUCUGGAAUUUAGUCAUCUCUGGGGUCCAAGCAGAGGAUGAUGCAGAUUAUUACUGUGCUGUAUGGGAUGGUAGUAGUAACGCUCAUCACAGUGAUACCGUGAGAUAG
Molecule: non-coding RNA, 403 nt
Organism: Chrysemys picta bellii (western painted turtle)
Lineage: Eukaryota; Metazoa; Chordata; Testudines; Emydidae
Source: the annotation of a RefSeq genome assembly